UACGUAGGGAGCGAGCGUUGUCCGGAAUUACUGGGUGUAAAGGGCGUGUAGGCGGCAUGGCAAGUCAGAUGUGAAAUCCCUGGGCUUAACUCAGGAGUUGCAUUUGAAACUGUUGUGCUUGAGUGCAGGAGAGGUAAGCGGAAUUCCCGGUGUAGCGGUGAAAUGCGUAGAGAUCGGGAGGAACACCAGUGGCGAAGGCGGCUUACUGGACUGCAACUGACGCUGAGGCGCGAAAGCGUGGGGAGCAAACAGGAUUAGAUACCCUGGUAGUCCACGCCGUAAACGAUGAUUACUAGGUGUAGGGGGUAUCGACUCCCCCUGUGCCGGAGUUAACACAAUAAGUAAUCCACCUGGGGAGUACGGCCGCAAGGUUGAA
Molecule: ribosomal RNA, 376 nt
Filed under: uncultured bacterium
Lineage: Bacteria
Description: bacterial SSU rRNA
Rfam family: Bacterial small subunit ribosomal RNA
Source: RNAcentral